CUUGUGCCAGCCGCCGCGGUAAUACGAAGGGUGCAAGCGUUACUCGGAAUUACUGGGCGUAAAGCGUGCGUAGGUGGUUGUUUAAGUCUGUCGUGAAAGCCCUGGGCUCAACCUGGGAAUGGCGAUGGAAACUGGGCGACUAGAGUGUGGCAGAGGGUAGUGGAAUUCCGUGGUGUAGCACGUGAAAUGCGUAGAGAUCAGGAGGAACAUCCGUGGCGAAGGCGACUGCCUGGGCCAACACUGACACUGAGGCACGAAAGCGUGGGGAGCAAACAGGAUUAGAUA
Molecule: ribosomal RNA, 285 nt
Filed under: uncultured Lysobacterales bacterium
Lineage: Bacteria; Pseudomonadati; Pseudomonadota; Gammaproteobacteria; Lysobacterales
Description: uncultured Xanthomonadales bacterium partial 16S ribosomal RNA
Rfam family: Bacterial small subunit ribosomal RNA
Source: RNAcentral